AGAGUAGCAUUGGAGUACAGUCGGUGCCAGCAGCCGCGGUAAUUCCAGCUCCAAUAGCGUAUAUUAAACUUGUUGCAGUUAAAAAGCUCGUAGUUGAAUUUUAGCGUGUUCGAGUUUGCCAUUCGUUUGGCUUUUUCGAGUUCGCUUUUGGGUUUUCCCUUUUUACUUUGAGAAAAUUAGAGUGUUUCAAGCAGACUUUUGUCUUGAAUACUUCAGCAUGGAAUAAUAGAGUAGGACUUUGGUUCUAUUUUGUUGGUUAUUGAACCUUAGUAAUGGUUAAUAGGAACGUUGGGG
RNAcentral lists this ribosomal RNA (294 nucleotides) under Babesia vogeli. RNAcentral describes it as "partial 18S ribosomal RNA". It matches the Rfam family "Eukaryotic small subunit ribosomal RNA", at positions 538 to 886 of the family's 1831-position model. Lineage: Eukaryota; Apicomplexa; Aconoidasida; Piroplasmida; Babesiidae. The record is from RNAcentral.